The sequence is a ribosomal RNA, 437 nucleotides long. It matches the Rfam family "Bacterial small subunit ribosomal RNA", at positions 341 to 792 of the family's 1533-position model.
ACGGAAGGCAGCAGUGGGGAAUAUUGGGCAAUGGGCGAAAGCCUGACCCAGCAACGCCGCGUGAAGGAAGAAGGUUUUCGGAUUGUAAACUUCUUUUAUCAGGGACGAAGAAAGUGACGGUACCUGAUGAAUAAGCCACGGCUAACUACGUGCCAGCAGCCGCGGUAAUACGUAGGUGGCGAGCGUUAUCCGGAUUUACUGGGUGUAAAGGGUGCGCAGGCGGGCUGCUAAGUCUCCGGUGAAAUGUCAGGGCUCAACCUUGGCACUGCCGGAGAUACUGGCGGCCUUGAGAGUGGCGGAGGUAUCCGGAAUGUGUGGUGUAGCGGUGAAAUGCAUAGAUAUCACACAGAACACCGGUUGCGAAGGCAGGAUACCAUACCAUAUCUGACGCUCAGGCACGAAAGCGUGGGGAUCGAACAGGAUUAGAUACCCUGGUA